This 108-nucleotide Y RNA is filed under the name Propithecus coquereli (Coquerel's sifaka). RNAcentral describes it as "Y RNA (ENSPCOG00000012241.1)". It matches the Rfam family "Y RNA". Rfam says of the family: Y RNAs are components of the Ro ribonucleoprotein particle (Ro RNP), in association with Ro60 and La proteins. The Y RNAs and Ro60 and La proteins are well conserved, but the function of the Ro RNP is not known. Lineage: Eukaryota; Metazoa; Chordata; Mammalia; Primates; Indriidae. The record is from Rfam by way of RNAcentral.
GGCUAGUCCAAAGGUAGUGAGUUAUAUCAGUUUAUUGUUCACAGUUACAGACUGAACUCCUUGUUCUACCACUUUCUCCCCUCCUCACUACUAUUUGACUAGUCUUAA